Molecule: non-coding RNA, 58 nt
Organism: Salmo salar (Atlantic salmon)
Lineage: Eukaryota; Metazoa; Chordata; Actinopteri; Salmoniformes; Salmonidae
Source: Rfam
UGGCUCAGUUGGUAGGGCAUGGUGUUUGCAAUGCCAGGGUUGUGGGUUCGAUUCCCAC